This is a long non-coding RNA of Eurytemora carolleeae, 628 nucleotides long. RefSeq lists it as uncharacterized. The record is from RefSeq and is a predicted model, not a curated record. NCBI's taxonomy places the organism in Eukaryota, Metazoa, Arthropoda, Copepoda, Calanoida, Temoridae. The transcript is spliced from 3 exons.
GACAGGUAUAGCCAGCCAAUGGCUCUAAUCCUGCCCCGGCUGGCAGACCAGUAACCAGUUAGUCUCUACAGACUGCACUGCAGUUCACACUCCACAAUACAUGUCGGACACCCUGACAAACAACCAAUCAUGGACAACGAAUAUUCUAUUUACUACAAUUUACUGCUGAGUCUGUUGAAAAUUAUCUUAAACAUUUAGAGCUGUUCGGAGAGAGGAAUCUACUCAAACGUAUGAAGAGACCCAAACACUUUGGAGAUCCACUAACAAAACGGAGUUGCUCGUGGAGUUGAGAAGAUCCUUCUCAGGACAUCAAAACUAUUCUGGGAGGAGUUUGAGCUGAGGAGGACAAUGCUGAAGGGCGCCAGGGCCAGGAAGAUCACAAGAUUCCUCUCCUAAUCUUUCUAGUUAGAACCGGGCAAUCUGUAUUCAGAAUAUAGAAUGAAGUUCAGCCUACUUGGUUUACGAAUUUACAGUACAGAAUACCAGAGUGCACAAGGUACCAGAGUGCACAAGGUACCAGAGUGCACAAGGUACCAGAGUGCACAAAGUACCAGAGUGCACAUAGUACCAGAGUGCACAAAGUACCAGAGUGCACAAAGUACCAGAGUGCACAAAGUACUAGAGUGCA